UUUCCGUAGGUGAACCUGCGGAAGGAUCAUUAAAAAAUGAGACCUCGAUUUCAAGGUCUAUUAAUAAUCCUACCCUUUGUGAAUUUGUUUGUUUAAUUAUGUGUCUUUCCCUGUUGGUUUGAAGCUUUGUUUAAAAGUUUCGAACCUUCAGGGGAAUGGCAAAACUUUUUUUAAAAUAAACUUUUUGUAUUCAUUUGUCUAAAAUUAUUUUUAUAAUAUAAAAACAACUUUUGACAAUGGAUCUCUUGGUUCUCGCAACGAUGAAGAACGCAGCAAAAUGCGAUAAGUAGUGUGAAUUGCAGAAUACGUGAAUCAUCGAAUCUUCGAACGCAUAUUGCACUUUUUUAGUUUACUAAAAAAGUAUGUCUGUUUGAGUAUCAGUAAAAUAUUCUCAUAAAAACUUUUGUUUUAUGGUUAUGAGUGUUUUACAACGAUACAAGUUGUUUCACUUUAAAUUCUUUGUCUUUUAAAAAAUCAUUAAAAACUGAUUUUUUUUUAAAAAUUGGAUAAAAUUUUCCCGUAAAAGGAAUAACCUAAACAAUUUUAAAUUAAAUUGGUUUGAUUUCUUUUAAGAAUUAAAGGAAAAAAAGUAAAAAUUAACUUGAUCUCAAAUCAGAUAAGAGUACCCGCUGAACUUAAGCAUAUCAAUAAGCGGAGGAAAAGAAACUAACAAGGAUUCCCUUAGUAACGGCGAGUGAAGCGGGAAGAGCUCAAAUUUGAAAUCUUCAAGGUUCUACCUUGACGAAUUGUAGUUUAAAGAAGUGUUUUCUGUUAGUGGAGUGGCAAAAGUUCUUCGGAAUAGGACAUCAUAGAGGGUGAGAAUCCCGUAUUUGUCCAUUCUUCUAACUUUGUGAUACACUUUCAAAGAGUCGGAUUGUUUGGGAAUGCAGUCCAAAAUGGGUGGUAAAUUUCAUCUAAAGCUAAAUACUGGCGAGAGACCGAUAGCGAACAAGUACCGUGAGGGAAAGAUGAAAAGAACUUUGAAAAGAGAGUUAAACAGUACGUGAAAUUGUCAAAAGGGAGCGUUUGACACCAGUGUCGUUUUUCCGAAAAUCAAUUACGAAUGUUUUUUUUGAGGAGUUAUGACUUCAUCGGCUUGCUCUCUCUUUACGAACUUUCUUAAUGCACUUUUCGGUUAACAAGUCAACAUCAAUUUCUUUUGUUGUAAAAGGGUAUGAGGAAGGUGGCUUUCUUUUCGGAGAAAGUGUUUAUAGCCUUGUACCUCUGCAAUCGGAGAGAUUGAGGUCUGCAGCGUAGAUCCUUCGGGGUUAGAUACAUUUGUGCUAAGUUAUAGCUUUUCAUAGACAACUUGUUGAUUAUGUUUAGUCUGUAGCUUACUCGCUUAUGUCAUUUUACCUACGCUUAGGAUGUUG
Molecule: unclassified non-coding RNA, 1373 nt
Filed under: uncultured Neocallimastigales
Lineage: Eukaryota; Fungi; Neocallimastigomycota; Neocallimastigomycetes; Neocallimastigales
Description: partial contains small subunit ribosomal RNA, internal transcribed spacer 1, 5.8S ribosomal RNA, internal transcribed spacer 2, and large subunit ribosomal RNA
Rfam family: Eukaryotic large subunit ribosomal RNA (bases 603-1373)
Source: RNAcentral